Rhagoletis pomonella (apple maggot) is the source of this 487-nucleotide long non-coding RNA. RefSeq lists it as uncharacterized. The record is from RefSeq and is a predicted model, not a curated record. NCBI's taxonomy places the organism in Eukaryota, Metazoa, Arthropoda, Insecta, Diptera, Tephritidae. The transcript is spliced from 2 exons.
GUUGCCACCAAUCGGCCCUAUGCUGAAUAUCGUCAUCGUCAUCGUCGACGAUCGUCAGCGCAACAGUAACAUGGCUGACGAUGGCCGUAUCGUAACUUUUACUGACGAUAUUCAACAUGGGGCGAAAUAUAUGUACAUCAAUUAAAUAGAAAAAAUUUAAAACCCGAAACUAUUGCAUGAAGUGAAAGGGUGAUAAUAACCCUGACCAAAGGCUUGUGAAAUGGACCAUUUUGAAAAGAAUUGGACCAAUGGACCAAACGAAAAGAUUUGGACCAUUUCGAUCAAAACGGCAACCGUGGUAGUGAGUUCUGAGAUACGAGGUUUUGCCAAAGUAGCGUCGAUAUGCAGUGCCAGGAUGGCAAUGAAUACAUAUGCACUUUAAUUUUCUUACGUGUAAGUACAUACGCAUUACGCAUUGGCAGCUACAUUUGUAUGCACAUAAAAGCACAACCGGAACAGUCGAGCACAAGAGCGAACGGGUAAAAAA